AAAAAAAAAAAAAAGGAAAAAUACAACCUUUGAGAAUUUGUCAAAGAAGACAAGAAGAUGCCUUUGAAUUGUAUAUGGAAUGGGAGAGUGAAGAGAGGACAGUGUCAGUGAGUAAAAAAGGGCAAAAGCAAAAACCAAAAACAAAAAAAUGCUUCCUCUUCCUCUAAAGCUGGUUCGCUCUCUCGUCUUUGGCCAAACCAUUAACAACAACCCUUUCCUUCUCACCCGAAAUCACAGUACCCACCACCAACAACAUCAAGACGAAGACAACGACGACGACGACGACGACGAAGAAGAAGAAGAAGAAGAAGAAGAAGAAGAAGAUGGUGAUGAUAACCAUGACAAUGGUCUCCACCAUCACCACCGCCAUCAUCAUCAUCGGAAAUGUACUAGACCAAAGCUCAAAUCCAAGAAUGCCAAAUCCAAAACCCCAUUGCUCCUUUUCCUCCCAACCAAAGAGCUUGUAACUGACACUUACAGGCUAGCAACCAUAGCCAGAGACAUGGGCAUGGAUUUGCAUCCGACCCCAUCUCUAUCCCACAUCAUUCUCUCUUACCCAUCUUCCUCUUCUUCUCCAUCUUCAACAUCCCCUUCUUCGUUCCCAUCCUCAUGGUCUUCGUCUUCGCUCUCAUCGUCUUGUUCUUUGCCGUCAAACGCCGUUCCUCUUCCUUUCCCUUCGUUUUCUUCGGCCUCACUGACUCAUCUCCGCUCCUUCGUCAAGCUCUCCAAAGGUCUGUUCAAGCUUGUGUUUUUGAGCUCCAAUGGUACGAACAACGAGACGAGUGUUGGGAAUUCUAGCAACUGGAAUUGCUGUUCGAUUUCUCUGUUUUCGCGGCUAACCGGCGACCGGAUUGACACGAUGGAAGGGUUUUGUCGGGCUUUGGCCGGAAAAGGGUGGACCCUUUUCAAGACUAAAGAAAACCCAUCUGUGGAUUCCGGCGAUAGGAUAGUUCCUGGUCGGAAAUCGGUAUACCUGUUUAGGAAGGUGGAGACGAGCAGGGUUCGGAGUGGGCGGAGAAAUGGGGAUGGUGGAAAUGGUGGGGAGAGUAGGGUUAGGGAGCUGAGGUUGCCUCAAUUGGAUUUUAGGAAUGCCCCUUUGAGGAUUUUGCAGUACAUUCUUCUAAUGACUGAUGAUAUGUUCUAUCUUGCAUAAAAUGGAUUACUUCCAGAUCUGCCAAGCUUCAGCAUUUUUGAGCAGCUGUAUUUCUUAAUCAGAACCCCGAAUUUUACACAUUAUGCAGGAACUGUAGGGAACUGUAUUUUAGCCCCUUGCUUUGAGAUUACAAGCACUGUGAUAAGCCCCUGAUCCCAUUUGCCCAUUGUCGAAAAUGAUCCUGUGUUUUGUUAGGCUUUGUAAACUCCUGUUCAGGUGUUGAAGAUCAACUGCGUUCUGACUUAACCAAGGUAAAGAAAUAUCCUGUAUCUUUUUCCUCUUCUAAUACUUUCGUUGCCUGUAUUCCUCAUUUUCCUUUUUAUGCUUCACUGCAUUGGAAGCCUUCUUCAUACUAGAUUCGGUUCUCUGGAAUUUUAUUGCUGUUCCUUCGCUUUGCUGUCUCACCCUUUGGGGUGGCGGACUGAAUCAAUUAGGAGCAGGUUUUUAGUGCCACUUUUGCAUUCUAUAAAGCUAGUGAACCGAGAUAAAUGCACUGAAUUUUAGAAAUGACCCGUUAUUGACUUUCCCUAGUUGCUCAUGAUGUCUUAUUUGUAAUUGAACUGCUGUAUAUUUUCUGUAUUUACUUAUUUGGAUUUUGUUUCUAAUGGCUUUUAAGGUCUUGUAUUUUUACUACUCUAUAUGGGGUUAUAAUUGUCAAGUGCAUGUUUUGUUUGCUUAAUAUGCAUGGUUGGGUCCUAAUAGCUGAAAUUUUGGGGAUUUUAUCUUAUUAUUGUUAUUAUUUUAUUUAUUAUUAUUAUUAUUUUUUUGUCAAAUAUCAGAUUUCAGAUUGUCUGUUUGGUCUUGUGUUCAAAUCUUGAUAGCCCUGCUUGUACACUUGACACACGUAGGGCAUCUAUUGUUAUCCGUUUUUCUUCUUUGGGCAUGUUUUAAAUGGUGAUUAGUGGUAAAAAUCAUGCAGCAAUAUAAAUCUUCUUGUGAUUUGUUCUGUUAAUAACUCAGCCAAUCGGGGCAAGACUCGUACCAAAUAGUGUACGAAGGUUUUUGGGUCUGAUGGAGCACAGACCCUCCAGAGUAAAGAGUUGAAGAAGAAAAUGAUCUGUGCGAGGGACUAAAUACACACUACUUGGGACAAAUACUUAGAAUGACCCUCUCAUAAAGUACAGUUUCUUCGAUGUUGCAAAUCACAAAUGCUGUAAAGGAGAGCAAUUAUAUUCAUCAUAUAAAUUUUUUGUCCUCUGCAUUCAUUUUUUUCUGCCUAACUCGGCUAAUGUGCUUCCAAACGUUGGCUAUUGCCUUGGCUACUAUAUCUACUUCCCUAUCUAUCAGCCUAAGAGGGUUGUUAAGAUGGAAGAGAAAGAGCAACAUUGUAAUACAAAUUGAUCUCUCGUAUGGAAAAUAUCCAAUAGAAAAAGAGGCCAAUGAGAAAGAAUAACAAGAAAAAGUUUACAUUCCACACUGCUUUUUUAUUUUGUGUGUGUGUGUGUGUGUGUGGAAAGACUUUAUGAGCAAAUAUCAAAACAGGGAUAGUACAUGAUGACGUUUAAAAAAAAGGAAAAAAAAAAAAAAAGCCUUGUUGCAUCAGGACCAUUCUCUAGAUAAACUUGAAAUUUCAGAGAAAACAAAAAUGUGUAGAUCUGCCAACUCAAAAAGGAUUAUAGCCGCCAAAUAGAUCACUUUCUUUACAAUUCCAGGUGAACUAAGCACCAAUGAACUCACGAAAAAGUCUCCCUUCCACCAUUACC
RNA transcript from Ziziphus jujuba (common jujube), 2856 nucleotides. RefSeq lists it as uncharacterized. The transcript is spliced from 3 exons. NCBI's taxonomy places the organism in Eukaryota, Viridiplantae, Streptophyta, Magnoliopsida, Rosales, Rhamnaceae. The record is from RefSeq and is a predicted model, not a curated record.